GAGAAGGUUUGUGCUAGGAACUGUAAAAAAAUACAAUCACUCAGCUGACGAGCAGGCUCCUUAUCGUGGGUACACGAGAGGGACCAGCUGAGACAGGCUGUCUAGACAUUGCAGAUGUGGACAGAUGUUGGGUCUGUAAUCACCCUGUAACAGGGCCCAGACCCCUCCAUCAGUUCCCAACCUGCAGCCUCUCCCUGAGCAGACUUUGUGAUUUGUGGUGCAGACCACCCAGGGACUUUAAUCUUCACCGUGACAAAUGCAAUAAAAGGAACAAUUUGGAGA
This 282-nucleotide long non-coding RNA is filed under the name Homo sapiens (human). Its description in RNAcentral is "HSALNT0167265". Lineage: Eukaryota; Metazoa; Chordata; Mammalia; Primates; Hominidae. The record is from RNAcentral.